GCCGGGAUGGUGGAAUUGGUAAACGCAGCGGACUCAAAAUCCGCCGGUGGCGACACCUUGCGAGUUCAAGUCUCGCUCCCGGUACCA
RNAcentral lists this transfer RNA (87 nucleotides) under Candidatus Desulfovibrio gallistercoris. Its description in RNAcentral is "tRNA-Leu". It matches the Rfam family "tRNA". From Rfam's summary of the family: Transfer RNA (tRNA) molecules are approximately 80 nucleotides in length. Their secondary structure includes four short double-helical elements and three loops (D, anti-codon, and T loops). Further hydrogen bonds mediate the characteristic L-shaped molecular structure. tRNAs have two regions of fundamental functional importance: the anti-codon, which is responsible for specific mRNA codon recognition, and the 3' end, to which the tRNAs corresponding amino acid is attached (by aminoacyl-tRNA synthetases). tRNAs cope with the degeneracy of the genetic code in two manners: having more than one tRNA (with a specific anti-codon) for a particular amino acid; and 'wobble' base-pairing, i.e. permitting non-standard base-pairing at the 3rd anti-codon position. Lineage: Bacteria; Pseudomonadati; Thermodesulfobacteriota; Desulfovibrionia; Desulfovibrionales; Desulfovibrionaceae. The record is from RNAcentral.